GCCCGAGUGGCGGAAUGGCAGACGCGACGGUCUCAAAAACCGUUGUCCUCUGGGCGUGUGGGUUCGACUCCCACCUCGGGCACCA
This 85-nucleotide transfer RNA is filed under the name Coriobacteriaceae bacterium. Its description in RNAcentral is "tRNA-Leu". It matches the Rfam family "tRNA". Rfam says of the family: Transfer RNA (tRNA) molecules are approximately 80 nucleotides in length. The record is from RNAcentral. RNAcentral also lists the same sequence under 3 other names. Lineage: Bacteria; Bacillati; Actinomycetota; Coriobacteriia; Coriobacteriales; Coriobacteriaceae.